RNAcentral lists this ribosomal RNA (705 nucleotides) under uncultured bacterium. Its description in RNAcentral is "bacterial SSU rRNA". It matches the Rfam family "Bacterial small subunit ribosomal RNA", at positions 111 to 794 of the family's 1533-position model. The record is from RNAcentral.
UNACGCGUGGGUAACCUGCCCUUUUGGGGGGGANAACUUCGAGAAAUCGGAGCUAAUACCGCAUAAUAAUAGAGGAUCGCAUGAUUCUUUAAGGAAAGAUGGCCUCUGAAGAUGCUAUCGCAAAAGGAUGGACCCGCGUCUGAUUAGCUAGUUGGAAGGGUAACGGCCUACCAAGGCAACGAUCAGUAGCCGGCCUGAGAGGGUGAACGGCCACAUUGGGACUGAGACACGGCCCAAACUCCUACGGGAGGCAGCAGUGGGGAAUCUUCCGCAAUGGGCGAAAGCCUGACGGAGCAAUGCCGCGUGAGUGAAGAAGGCCUUCGGGUUGUAAAACUNUGCCCCUAUCGAAGAGAGGUAGGUAUGUGAAUANUUUACCUAUAGGACGGNNNNNNAGGAGGAAGCCCCGGCUAACUACGUGCCAGCAGCCGCGGUAAUACGUAGGGGGCGAGCGUUGUCCGGAAUCACUGGGCGUAAAGGGCGCGUAGGCGGUUUAAUAAGUCAGUGGUGAAAACUGAGGGCUCAACCCUCAGCCUGCCACUGAUACUGUUAGACUUGAGUAUGGAAGAGGAGAAUGGAAUUCCUAGUGUAGCGGUGAAAUGCGUAGAUAUUAGGAGGAACACCAGUGGCGAAGGCGAUUCUCUGGGCCAAGACUGACGCUGAGGCGCGAAAGCGUGGGGAGCAAACAGGAUUAGAUACCCUGGUAGU